UUGAGUUCAACUUUCUUGAAUAUAUGUUUAUGUACAAGUGUUAAUGCCUAUAUCUUAUCUUGAGCUUUGGCUGCAUGAUAUUAUAAUCUUGAACACAAUAUCAGCACAAGUAAUUAUGUUGAUAUUAUAUGUGAAGACAUUCAACAGACUACUACAUGCACGCAUGACCUUCUAGUUUCUAGCAAAUGAAUGAAGCAUUCAAUGUGGUAAAGACCUCAAAAGUCUAAUUCUUCACUAUAUAUGCUCUCAUGCAUUCUUCCAAGAAUCAAACAUCAAAUCCA
Molecule: long non-coding RNA, 281 nt
Filed under: Salvia miltiorrhiza (redroot sage)
Lineage: Eukaryota; Viridiplantae; Streptophyta; Magnoliopsida; Lamiales; Lamiaceae
Description: long non-coding RNA (SMIL_LNC004546)
Source: RNAcentral